GAUUAACGCUAGCGGCAGGCCUAAUACAUGCAAGUUGAACGGGAUUUCGGGUAGCAAUAUCUGAAUGAGAGUGGCGCACGGGUGCGUAACACGUAUGCAAUCUACCUCUGACUGGGGAAUAGCCUUCCGAAAGGAAGAUUAAUACCGCAUAACAUAAUGAAGUGGCAUCACUUUAUUAUCAAAACUCCGGUGGUCAGAGAUGAGCAUGCGUCCGAUUAGCUAGUUGGCGAGGUAACGGCUCACCAAGGCAACGAUCGGUAGGGGGUCUGAGAGGAUGAUCCCCACACUGGUACUGAGACACGGACCAGACUCCUACGGGAGGCAGCAGUAAGGAAUAUUGGACAAUGGUCGCAAGACUGAUCCAGCCAUGCGCGU
This 375-nucleotide ribosomal RNA is filed under the name uncultured bacterium. Its description in RNAcentral is "bacterial SSU rRNA". It matches the Rfam family "Bacterial small subunit ribosomal RNA", at positions 28 to 402 of the family's 1533-position model. The record is from RNAcentral.